RNAcentral lists this ribosomal RNA (459 nucleotides) under uncultured bacterium. RNAcentral describes it as "partial 16S ribosomal RNA". It matches the Rfam family "Bacterial small subunit ribosomal RNA", at positions 338 to 795 of the family's 1533-position model. The record is from RNAcentral.
CCUACGGGAGGCAGCAGUGAGGAAUAUUGGUCAAUGGUCGGGAGACUGAACCAGCCAAGCCGCGUGAGGGAUGAAGGUACAGAGUAUCGUAAACCUCUUUUGUCAGGGAACAAAGGCGGGGACGUGUCCCCGGAUGAGUGUACCUGAAGAAAAAGCAUCGGCUAACUCCGUGCCAGCAGCCGCGGUAAUACGGAGGAUGCGAGCGUUAUCCGGAUUUAUUGGGUUUAAAGGGUGCGCAGGCGGUCUGUUAAGUCAGCGGUCAAAGCCCGGGGCUCAACCCCGGCCCGCCGUUGAAACUGGCAGUCGCGAGUUGGAGAGAAGUAGGCGGAAUGCGCGGUGUAGCGGUGAAAUGCAUAGAUAUCGCGAAGAACUCCGAUUGCGAAGGCAGCAUGCCGGCUCCACACUGACGCUGAGGCACGAAAGCGUGGGUAUCGAACAGGAUUAGAUACCCGUGUAGUC